This 253-nucleotide ribosomal RNA is filed under the name uncultured bacterium. RNAcentral describes it as "partial 16S ribosomal RNA". It matches the Rfam family "Bacterial small subunit ribosomal RNA", at positions 524 to 776 of the family's 1533-position model. The record is from RNAcentral.
GACGAGGGGGGCUAGCGUUGUUCGGAAUUACUGGGCGUAAAGCGAGUGUAGGUGGUUGUCCAAGUUGGAUGUGAAAGCCUUGAGCUCAACUCAAGAAAUGCAUUCAGGACUGGGCGGCUAGAGGACCGGAGAGGAUAGUGGAAUUCCCAGUGUAGUGGUGAAAUACGUAGAGAUUGGGAAGAACACCAGUGGCGAAGGCGGCUAUCUGGACGGUUUCUGACACUAAGACUCGAAAGCGUGGGGAGCAAACAGG